AAAGUCGUAACAAGGUUUCCGUAGGUGAACCUGCGGAAGGAUCAUUAAAAAAGUACGCCUGGUGAUAAGCCAGGUAGUAUAAAACCACCUGUUUACCUUUACCUGUUGCUUCCGUGGAAUACGGGUGCUCUUCCUGUUCGCAGGCUUGAGUUACCUUCCACGGGUGUAUUCAAAAACUCGUUUUGUAAUUUUGUCUGAUAUAAAAUUUUAAUAAAAGUUAAAACUUUCAACAACGGAUCUCUAGGUUCUC
RNAcentral lists this unclassified non-coding RNA (250 nucleotides) under fungal sp. Its description in RNAcentral is "partial contains small subunit ribosomal RNA, internal transcribed spacer 1, and 5.8S ribosomal RNA". The stretch from base 1 to 47 matches the Rfam family "Eukaryotic small subunit ribosomal RNA", at positions 1785 to 1831 of the family's 1831-position model. Lineage: Eukaryota; Fungi. The record is from RNAcentral.